CGAAGAAAAUCUAGUGUAUACCCAGAUGGUGUGUGAUAAUUUUCUAAUCCUCUAACCGAUUUUUAAACAUUUCGAUAUUUAACGACUCUACAACACUCUUUCGUUUCAUCAAUUCGUCAGAGCACAAAGAAGAGAUGUGGUGGUUGUUAGUGUCUACUUUGCUGAUCAGCGUGGGUAGUUCGUCAUCCGAGGACAACCUUGUUGUCAACACUGACAAAGGGAAAGUUCAAGGCGUCAC
Long non-coding RNA from Cimex lectularius (bed bug), 238 nucleotides. RefSeq lists it as uncharacterized. The transcript has 2 exons. Lineage: Eukaryota; Metazoa; Arthropoda; Insecta; Hemiptera; Cimicidae. The record is from RefSeq and is a predicted model, not a curated record.